UCACUGUUACGGUCGGUAGCGGAACUGUGGAUCCCGGAGUUUUCGACCUGGGUUCGAACCCUACGGUCGGACGUGUCUGCACCAAGAGCAUGUGAUCUUUGGUCAUGUGCUUGUAGCACGACUUGGCAUCAGCCACAAACGAGUCGACGUGCCCCGGCAUUCAAUCGAUCCUUGCGGGCUGUCGGGGGCAAGAUGUGAGAAGUCCGUCUUGUGCCCUGUUACGGCAAUGGUAGAAGUGGGUACUCUUACAGGGUUAACCCUUCUCACGUGCUUCAAACAGCUGAAGGGGAGUUUAAUCCAGCACAGCAGGAGCAACCCGUGAUGGAGGCGGCUGGGAUUACACCUGUCCUCGGCGAAGCGUCUUAGGGCGCUUUAGUGUGGUGGGCCUUGACUCUAUUCCAUUGGAAAGUGGAUCUUCUGGAACCGUACCAUU
The sequence is a signal recognition particle RNA, 433 nucleotides long. It matches the Rfam family "Fungal signal recognition particle RNA".